UUUAACACCAUGGAAAGCGCCGAGUGUGUUAUGGUGGUGGUCCAAUGAAGGAGACCAGUGAAAGUUGGGGACAGCUUUGGUCACCCUUUCUUCAGUGACCCUAGAUUUCUCCGAGAAAUUUUCCAUUUGCUGCUUAAAGGUAACAUCUUCGUAUGGUUGUCUGGUUGCAACCUUUGAGGAGUCUGAGACUGAAACCUUGAGAGUGUUGUUGUUGUUGUGAGCAGGUGAGUCGUGGCAAGAAGUGCUCAUGAGCCAUUUCUCUGCAUCAUCCCACUUAGAAGGGAAGCUCUUUCUUGGAAGGCCAGAGCUGAAGGAGAAAACUGGUCUCCCCGGAGUGGAGGGAGCCUCUAAUAGUCUCC
Molecule: long non-coding RNA, 359 nt
Filed under: Phaseolus vulgaris (common bean)
Lineage: Eukaryota; Viridiplantae; Streptophyta; Magnoliopsida; Fabales; Fabaceae
Description: long non-coding RNA (PVUL_LNC000902)
Source: RNAcentral